GGUCAAUGAUGAAUAGUAAAAGGUCUGACUUCCAGGGUCACCUACCAGCAUCCUACAUCCCCAGCUGCGUGCUCUUUCCAUCUUACUGUAGUAGUGCUAUCAUGGCAAACACAAUAGCUGACAUGCAGUGAUGUCUCCAUUCUGUGUUCUCUGACAAGCCCAGAGAAGACAUGAGUUGGCAUCCAACAGCUUAGUCUCUAAGGGAUUUGAUUGUUGGGAGUGCUGGUAUCCCUUGGCUAUGAUCUGACUUUAAGCUGAGACC
Molecule: non-coding RNA, 262 nt
Organism: Cricetulus griseus (Chinese hamster)
Lineage: Eukaryota; Metazoa; Chordata; Mammalia; Rodentia; Cricetidae
Product: small Cajal body-specific RNA 6
Source: Ensembl